GUUUCGUUGUUUAUAAUACAACAUCUUCAGAGCAAUCUAAAAUCUUCAUCUUCAAUUGCUCUGAAGAUGUUGUAUUGUAAACAACGAAACG
Non-coding RNA from Paramuricea clavata, 91 nucleotides. The record is from the annotation of a GenBank genome assembly. Lineage: Eukaryota; Metazoa; Cnidaria; Anthozoa; Malacalcyonacea; Plexauridae.